Molecule: non-coding RNA, 24 nt
Filed under: Cricetulus griseus (Chinese hamster)
Lineage: Eukaryota; Metazoa; Chordata; Mammalia; Rodentia; Cricetidae
Source: RNAcentral
AUUUCCAACUGGGGAGAAGUCUGA